UACGAAGGGGGCUAGCGUUGCUCGGAAUCACUGGGCGUAAAGCGCACGUAGGCGGACUCUUAAGUCAGGGGUGAAAUCCUGGAGCUCAACUCCAGAACUGCCUUUGAUACUGAGAGCCUUGAGUUCGGGAGAGGUGAGUGGAACUGCGAGUGUAGAGGUGAAAUUCGUAGAUAUUCGCAAGAACACCAGUGGCGAAGGCGGCUCACUGGCCCGGUACUGACGCUGAGGUGCGAAAGCGUGGGGAGCAACAGG
This 252-nucleotide ribosomal RNA is filed under the name uncultured bacterium. RNAcentral describes it as "partial 16S ribosomal RNA". It matches the Rfam family "Bacterial small subunit ribosomal RNA", at positions 524 to 775 of the family's 1533-position model. The record is from RNAcentral.